GACGAACCGUGCGAACGUUGUUCGGAAUCACUGGGCUUAAAGGGCGCGUAGGCGGAUCAUAAAGUCUAGGGUGAAAUCCUCCGGCUUAACCGGAGAACUGCCUUGGAUACUGAUGAUCUCGAGGGAGGCAGGGGCAGUUGGAACUUCCGGUGGAGCGGUGAAAUGCGUUGAUAUCGGAAGGAACGCCGGUGGCGAAAGCGAACUGCUGGUCCUUUUCUGACGCUGAGGCGCGAAAGCCAGGGGAGCAAACGGG
This 253-nucleotide ribosomal RNA is filed under the name uncultured bacterium. Its description in RNAcentral is "partial 16S ribosomal RNA". It matches the Rfam family "Bacterial small subunit ribosomal RNA", at positions 524 to 776 of the family's 1533-position model. The record is from RNAcentral.